RNAcentral lists this long non-coding RNA (680 nucleotides) under Malus domestica (apple). Its description in RNAcentral is "long non-coding RNA (MDOM_LNC015918)". The record is from RNAcentral. Lineage: Eukaryota; Viridiplantae; Streptophyta; Magnoliopsida; Rosales; Rosaceae.
CAGUCAGAGGAAAAUACACUUCAGGCCCCAUGCCGGCUCCCCGUCCCUGGUCUUAAAUGCCAGAGGAAACACCCUCCAGGCCCUAUGCCAACACCAAACCGUCGCCCGGGAUGGACCGGAAUCUAUCCCUACGUCCCGUAGCGGAAAGGACCACUAGGUAAGUACAAAACCACUGAACAUAUAUAUAUUGAAAAACAACUUCAUAGUAUAAAGUCAUCCAUCAUCUAUACUAUAAAGAGGUGUUCGAAACAUGUUCUAAAUAUCAUAUCGUCAUCCAUCAGAUAUUCUAUAAGAACACGGGUUAUAGGAAAAAUAGUAAUAAUUCAAACUAGCCUCAGUAAGCAUGUUAUCUCACAAAACGUUUCAUAAAACGUAAUCAUCAAAUCAUGCUUUUCAUGUAUGCAUUUCUACUAUAAAACAUGCAUUUUAGAAGGGGUCCACUCACAGUACUUCGCCGUCGAAAAGCCACGCAAUCUAUCGAAGAAGGAACGCCACUAUAAUUGCCCCUAAGCACAUAAAGAGUCCAAUUAAUAAAACUCUAUUUUAACAAUUGAAUUUGGGAAAACAGACGUUGGAAACGGAUUCAGAACGUCGAAUUACCUUAAGAAGGGUCCUGGACAAAAACCCGAAAAGUCAACCCUAAAGUCAACGUUGACCGGGGGUCAUCGGUCAAAUUAGGU